This 242-nucleotide ribosomal RNA is filed under the name uncultured Sphingobacteriales bacterium. RNAcentral's name for it is "partial 16S ribosomal RNA". It matches the Rfam family "Bacterial small subunit ribosomal RNA", at positions 1142 to 1382 of the family's 1533-position model. The record is from RNAcentral. Lineage: Bacteria; Pseudomonadati; Bacteroidota; Sphingobacteriia; Sphingobacteriales.
AGGUAAACUAGCCUGCGCAAGCAGAGAGGAAGGUGGGGAUGACGUCAAAUCAGCACGGCCCUUACGUCCAGGGCCACACACGUGCUACAAUGGCCGAUACAGAGGGCAGCUACCUGGUGACAGGAUGCAAAUCUCGAAAGUCGGUCUCAGUUCGGAUCGGAGUCUGCAACUCGACUCCGUGAAGUUGGAUUCGCUAGUAAUCGCGCAUCAGCCAUGGCGCGGUGAAUACGUUCCCGGGCCUU